AGCUCACCAGCGAUUAGGUGACUAAUCGGCUAGGUAAACCCCAUUCGGAGCAAGGUCAAAUAGGGAAGAAGAGGUAGCCCGCCUCGCUAUACUUCCGGGUUGACCGCAUGAGGCCUUAGGUAACUAAGGUCCUAGAUAGAUGAUCAUCCACGACAGAACUCGGCUUACCGGUUCACUCAGAAC
This 183-nucleotide RNase P RNA is filed under the name Bacillota bacterium. RNAcentral describes it as "Firmicutes bacterium (anaerobic digester metagenome) partial RNase P RNA component class A". It matches the Rfam family "Bacterial RNase P class A", at positions 172 to 367 of the family's 367-position model. Rfam says of the family: Ribonuclease P (RNase P) is a ubiquitous endoribonuclease, found in archaea, bacteria and eukarya as well as chloroplasts and mitochondria. The record is from RNAcentral. Lineage: Bacteria; Bacillati; Bacillota.